RNAcentral lists this ribosomal RNA (497 nucleotides) under uncultured bacterium. RNAcentral describes it as "partial 16S ribosomal RNA". It matches the Rfam family "Bacterial small subunit ribosomal RNA", at positions 28 to 507 of the family's 1533-position model. The record is from RNAcentral.
GAUGAACGCUGGCGGCGUGCCUAAUACAUGCAAGUCGAGCGAACAGAUGAGGAGCUUGCUCCUCUGACGUUAGCGGCGGACGGGUGAGUAACACGUGGAUAACCUACCUAUAAGACUGGGAUAACUUCGGGAAACCGGAGCUAAUACCGGAUAAUAUAUUGAACCGCAUGGUUCAAUAGUGAAAGACGGUUUUGCUGUCACUUAUAGAUGGAUCCGCGCCGCAUUAGCUAGUUGGUAAGGUAACGGCUUACCAAGGCAACGAUGCGUAGCCGACCUGAGAGGGUGAUCGGCCACACGGGAACUGAGACACGGUCCAGACUCCUACGGAAGGCAGCAGUAGGGAAUCUUCGGCAAUGGGCGAAAGCCUGACGGAGCAACGCCGCGUGAGUGAUGAAGGUCUUCGGAUCGUAAAACUCUGUUAUUAGGGAAGAACAAAUGUGUAAGUAAAUAUGCACGUCUUGACGGUACCUAAUCAGAAAGCAACGGCUAACUACGUG